AUGUCUGCUUAAGUGGUAGCGGUCUCUGUGCGUUGGGUCCCUCAGGGCCCAGCCCAUGACUUUGGGGCAAAAAAAAAAAAAGGUCCGGUAAAAAAGUAUGGUGUGAGAUGUCGUGGGGUCAUCCUUCGGUUGAACUUAUCUAUCCAGCGUGUGGGGCUUGCUGCCUUGAACCUCAUGGCCGUUUGGUCCAGCUGCAGGUUUCAGGUCUCUCUGUCCGCUUGUGCU
Pelobates cultripes (western spadefoot toad) is the source of this 225-nucleotide non-coding RNA. The record is from the annotation of a GenBank genome assembly. Lineage: Eukaryota; Metazoa; Chordata; Amphibia; Anura; Pelobatidae.